Molecule: ribosomal RNA, 409 nt
Filed under: uncultured bacterium
Lineage: Bacteria
Description: bacterial SSU rRNA
Rfam family: Bacterial small subunit ribosomal RNA
Source: RNAcentral
AGCAGUGGGGAAUUUUGGACAAUGGGCGCAAGCCUGAUCCAGCAAUGCCGCGUGAGUGAAGAAGGCCUUCGGGUUGUAAAGCUCUUUUGUCAGGGAAGAAACGGUGAGGGCUAAUAUCCCUUGCUAAUGACGGUACCUGAAGAAUAAGCACCGGCUAACUACGUGCCAGCAGCCGCGGUAAUACGUAGGGUGCAAGCGUUAAUCGGAAUUACUGGGCGUAAAGCGUGCGCAGGCGGUUUUGUAAGUUUGUCGUGAAAGCCCCGGGUUCAACCUGGGAAUUGCGAUGAAGACUGCAAGGCUUGAAUCUGGCAGAGGGGGGUAGAAUUCCACGUGUAGCAGUGAAAUGCGUAGAGAUGUGGAGGAACACCGAUGGCGAAGGCAGCCCCCUGGGUCAAGAUUGACGCUCAUG